RNAcentral lists this ribosomal RNA (549 nucleotides) under Cladophialophora bantiana. RNAcentral describes it as "SSU rRNA". It matches the Rfam family "Eukaryotic small subunit ribosomal RNA", at positions 20 to 575 of the family's 1831-position model. The record is from RNAcentral. Lineage: Eukaryota; Fungi; Ascomycota; Eurotiomycetes; Chaetothyriales; Herpotrichiellaceae.
GUAGUCAUAUGCUUGUCUCAAAGAUUAAGCCAUGCAUGUCUAAGUAUAAGCACUCAUACUGUGAAACUGCGAAUGGCUCAUUAAAUCAGUUAUCGUUUAUUUGAUAGUACCUUUACCUGGAUAACCGUGGUAAUUCUAGAGCUAAUACAUGCUUAAAACCCCGACUUCGGGAGGGUGUAUAUUUAUUAGAUAAAAAACCAAUGCCCUCUGGGCUCCUUGGUGAUUCAUAAUAACUUAACGAAUCGCAUGGCCUUGCCCCGGCGAUGGUUCAUUCAAAUUUCUGCCCUAUCAACUUUCGAAUGAAGGAAAGAGGCCUACAAUGGUCUUAACGGGUAACGGGGAAUUAGGGUUCCACUCCGGAGAGGGAGCCUGAGAAACGGCUACCACAUCCAAGGAAGGCAGCAGGCGCGCAAAUUACCCAAUGCUAAUUCAGCGAGGUAGUGACAAUAAAUACUGAUACGGGGCUCUUUCGGGUCUCGUAAUUGGAAUGAGUACAAUCUAAAUCCCUUAACGAGGAACAAUUGGAGGGCAAGUCUGGUGCCAGCAGCC